CCUACGGGUGGCUGCAGUGGGGGAUAUUGCACAAUGGGGGGAACCCUGAUGCAGCGACGCCGCGUGGGUGAAGAAGCGCCUCGGCGCGUAAAGCCCUGUCAGCAGGGAAGAAAAUGACGGUACCUGAAGAAGAAGCCCCGGCUAACUACGUGCCAGCAGCCGCGGGAAUACGUAGGGGGCAAGCGUUAUCCGGAUUUACUGGGUGUAAAGGGAGAGUAGACGGCGAGGUAAGCCUGAAGUGGAAGCCCGCGGCCCAACAGCGGAACUGCUUUGGGAAAUGUUUUGCUGGAGUAUGGGAGGGGUGAGCGGAAGUCCUGGUGUAGCGGUGAAAUGCGUAGAUAUCAGGAGGAACACCGGUGGCGAAGGCGGCUUACUGGACCAUAACUGACGUUGAGGCUCGAAAGCGUGGGGAGCGAACAGGAUUAGAGACCCGAGUAGUC
RNAcentral lists this ribosomal RNA (440 nucleotides) under uncultured bacterium. RNAcentral's name for it is "partial 16S ribosomal RNA". It matches the Rfam family "Bacterial small subunit ribosomal RNA", at positions 338 to 795 of the family's 1533-position model. The record is from RNAcentral.